CGCGGCCUAUCAGCUUGUUGGUGAGGUAAUGGCUUACCAAGGCGACGACGGGUAGCCGGCCUGAGAGGGCGACCGGCCACACUGGGACUGAGACACGGCCCAGACUCCUACGGGAGGCAGCAGUGGGGAAUAUUGCACAAUGGGGGAAACCCUGAUGCAGCGACGCCGCGUGCGGGAUGAAGGCCUUCGGGUUGUAAACCGCUUUCAGCAGGGACGAAAGUGACGGUACCUGCAGAAGAAGCACCGGCUAACUACGUGCCAGCAGCCGCGGUAAUACGUAGGGUGCAAGCGUUGUCCGGAAUUAUUGGGCGUAAAGAGCUCGUAGGCGGUCUGUCGCGUCGGAUGUGAAAGCCCGGGGCUUAACCCCGGGUCUGCAUUCGAUACGGGCAGACUAGAGUGUGGUAGGGGAGAUCGGAAUUCCUGGUGUAGCGGUGAAAUGCGCAGAUAUCAGGAGGAACACCGGUGGCGAAGGCGGAUCUCUGGGCCAUUACUGACGCUGAGGAGCGAAAGCGUGGGGAGCGAACAGGAUUAGAUACCCUGGUAGUCCACGCCGUAAACGGUGGGAACUAGGUGUUGGCGACAUUCCACGUCGUCGGUGCCGCAGCUAACGCAUUAA
RNAcentral lists this ribosomal RNA (616 nucleotides) under uncultured bacterium. Its description in RNAcentral is "bacterial SSU rRNA". It matches the Rfam family "Bacterial small subunit ribosomal RNA", at positions 232 to 863 of the family's 1533-position model. The record is from RNAcentral.